This 253-nucleotide ribosomal RNA is filed under the name uncultured bacterium. RNAcentral's name for it is "partial 16S ribosomal RNA". It matches the Rfam family "Bacterial small subunit ribosomal RNA", at positions 524 to 776 of the family's 1533-position model. The record is from RNAcentral.
UACGUAGGGUGCAAGCGUUGUCCGGAAUUAUUGGGCGUAAAGAGCUCGUAGGCGGUUUGUCGCGUCUGCUGUGAAAACCCGAGGCUCAACCUCGGGCCUGCAGUGGGUACGGGCAGACUAGAGUGCGGUAGGGGAGAUUGGAAUUCCUGGUGUAGCGGUGGAAUGCGCAGAUAUCAGGAGGAACACCGAUGGCGAAGGCGGUUCUCUGGGCAUUACCUGACGCUGAGGAGCGAAAGUGUGGGGAGCGAACAGG